Molecule: ribosomal RNA, 492 nt
Filed under: uncultured bacterium
Lineage: Bacteria
Description: partial 16S ribosomal RNA
Rfam family: Bacterial small subunit ribosomal RNA
Source: RNAcentral
AGUGAACGCUGGCGGUAGGCCUAACACAUGCAAGUCGAACGGCAGCACAGUAAGAGCUUGCUCUUACGGGUGGCGAGUGGCGGACGGGUGAGGAAUACAUCGGAAUCUACUUUUUCGUGGGGGAUAACGUAGGGAAACUUACGCUAAUACCGCAUACGACCUACGGGUGAAAGCAGGGGAGCUUCGGACCUUGCGCGAUUGAAUGAGCCGAAGUCGGAUUAGCUAGUUGGCGGGGUAAAGGCCCACCAAGGCGACGAUCCGUAGCUGGGCUGAGAGGAUGAUCGGCCACACUGGAACUGAGACACGGUCCAGACUCCUACGGGAGGCAGCAGUGGGGAAUAUUGGACAAUGGGCGCAAGCCUGAUCCAGCCAUACCGCGUGGGUGAAGAAGGCCUUCGGGUUGUAAAGCCCUUUUGUUGGGAAAGAAAAGCAGCAGGUUAAUACCCCGCUGUUCUGACGGUACCCAAAGAAUAAGCACCGGCUAACUUCGUG